RNAcentral lists this long non-coding RNA (248 nucleotides) under Musa acuminata (dwarf banana). Its description in RNAcentral is "long non-coding RNA (MACU_LNC002221)". The record is from RNAcentral. Lineage: Eukaryota; Viridiplantae; Streptophyta; Magnoliopsida; Zingiberales; Musaceae.
CUGUGGAAGGAGCUCUCCGACCACUUCUCCAUCCUCCAGCAGGGGCUCGAGAUAAAGUCGGAGGCCCUUCGGUCCAAGCGCCAGUCCCUCGACGCCUCCACCGGGCACGCCCUCGACUCUCUCCGCCGCCGCGAGCUCUCCAUCGACUCCGCCGUCGAGCUUGCUAUCGCCAAGCUCGACGAGCGCCGUGCCGCCGCCGUCGAGGCCCUAUCCGCCACCGCUGCGGGGGGGGACGAUCUUGAUCUCGC